This 469-nucleotide ribosomal RNA is filed under the name uncultured bacterium. Its description in RNAcentral is "partial 16S ribosomal RNA". It matches the Rfam family "Bacterial small subunit ribosomal RNA", at positions 28 to 507 of the family's 1533-position model. The record is from RNAcentral.
GACGAACGCUGGCGGCGUGCUUAACACAUGCAAGUCGAACGGAAAGGCCCUGCUUUUGUGGGGUGCUCGAGUGGCGAACGGGUGAGUAACACGUGAGUAACCUGCCCUUGACUUUGGGAUAACUUCAGGAAACUGGGGCUAAUACCGGAUAGGAGCUCCUGCUGCAUGGUGGGGGUUGGAAAGUUUCGGCGGUUGGGGAUGGACUCGCGGCUUAUCAGCUUGUUGGUGGGGUAGUGGCUUACCAAGGCUUUGACGGGUAGCCGGCCUGAGAGGGUGACCGGGCAGAAGUGGGACUGAGAGCGGCCCCGCCCUCCGCCGGGGGGAAGCGGGGGGAAUUAGGGAACAGGGGGCGGAGGCUGGAGGCAGCAACCCCGGGGGGGGGAGGACGCCCGGCGGUUGGUAAACCGCUUUCGCCGGUGAAGAAGGGGGAGUGACGUUAAGGGAAAAAAAAACCCGGACAAACUACGUC